AGAGUUUGAUCAGUGGCUCAGGACGAACGCUGGCGGCACGCUUAACACAUGCAAGUCGAACGGAGAUAUUUUGGUUUACUGAGGUAUCUUAGUGGCGGACGGGUGAGUAACACGUGAGCAACCUGCCUCUGAGAGGGGGAUAGCUUCUGGAAACGGAUGGUAAUACCCUAUGACAUAACGAAGCCGCAUGACUUUGUUAUCAAAGAUUUAUCACUCAGAGAUGGGCUCGCGUCUGAUUAGCUGGUUGGUGAGGUAACGGCCCACCAAGGCGACGAUCAGUAGCCGGACUGAGAGGUUGAACGGCCACAUUGGGACUGAGACACGGCCCAGACUCC
Molecule: ribosomal RNA, 335 nt
Filed under: uncultured Ruminococcus sp.
Lineage: Bacteria; Bacillati; Bacillota; Clostridia; Eubacteriales; Oscillospiraceae
Description: bacterial SSU rRNA
Rfam family: Bacterial small subunit ribosomal RNA
Source: RNAcentral